GUCGAACGCUGGCGGCGUGCUUAACACAUGCAAGUCGAACGGAAAGGCCCUGCUUUUGUGGGGUGCUCGAGUGGCGAACGGGUGAGUAACACGUGAGUAACCUGCCCUUGACUUUGGGAUAACUUCAGGAAACUGGGGCUAAUACCGGAUAGGAGCUCCUGCUGCAUGGUGGGGGUUGGAAAGUUUCGGCGGUUGGGGAUGGACUCGCGGCUUAUCAGCUUGUUGGUGGGGUAGUGGCUUACCAAGGCUUUGACGGGUAGCCGGCCUGAGAGGGUGACCGGCCACAUUGGGACUGAGAUACGGCCCAGACUCCUACGGGAGGCAGCAGUGGGGAAUAUUGCACAAUGGGCGGAAGCCUGAUGCAGCAACGCCGCGUGCGGGAUGACGGCCUUCGGGCUGUAAACCGCUUUCGCCUGUGACGAAGCGUGAGUGACGGUAAUGGGUAAAGAAGCACCGGCUAACUACGUG
RNAcentral lists this ribosomal RNA (468 nucleotides) under uncultured bacterium. Its description in RNAcentral is "partial 16S ribosomal RNA". It matches the Rfam family "Bacterial small subunit ribosomal RNA", at positions 28 to 507 of the family's 1533-position model. The record is from RNAcentral.